This 692-nucleotide ribosomal RNA is filed under the name Salmonella enterica subsp. enterica serovar Bovismorbificans. RNAcentral's name for it is "partial 23S ribosomal RNA". It matches the Rfam family "Bacterial large subunit ribosomal RNA", at positions 628 to 1319 of the family's 2925-position model. The record is from RNAcentral. Lineage: Bacteria; Pseudomonadati; Pseudomonadota; Gammaproteobacteria; Enterobacterales; Enterobacteriaceae.
UUAUAUUCUGUAGCAAGGUUAACCGAAUAGGGGAGCCGGAGGGAAACCGAGUCUUAAUUGGGCGUUAAGUUGCAGGGUAUAGACCCGAAACCCGGUGAUCUAGCCAUGGGCAGGUUGAAGGUUGGGUAACACUAACUGGAGGACCGAACCGACUAAUGUUGAAAAAUUAGCGGAUGACCUGUGGCUGGGGGUGAAAGGCCAAUCAAACCGGGAGAUAGCUGGUUCUCCCCGAAAGCUAUUUAGGUAGCGCCUCGUGAAUUCAUCUCCGGGGGUAGAGCACUGUUUCGGCUAGGGGGCCAUCCCGGCUUACCAACCCGAUGCAAACUGCGAAUACCGGAGAAUGUUAUCACGGGAGACACACGGCGGGUGCUAACGUCCGUCGUGAAGAGGGAAACAACCCAGACCGCCAGCUAAGGUCCCAAAGUCAUGGUUAAGUGGGAAACGAUGUGGGAAGGCCCAGACAGCCAGGAUGUUGGCUUAGAAGCAGCCAUCAUUUAAAGAAAGCGUAAUAGCUCACUGGUCGAGUCGGCCUGCGCGGAAGAUGUAACGGGGCUAAACCAUGCACCGAAGCUGCGGCAGCGACACUCAGGUGUUGUUGGGUAGGGGAGCGUUCUGUAAGCCUGUGAAGGUGUGUCGUGAGGCAUGCUGGAGGUAUCAGAAGUGCGAAUGCUGACAUAAGUAACGAUAAAGCG